GACGAACGCUGGCGGCGUGCUUAACACGUGCAAGUCGAACGGAAAGGCCCUGCUUUUGUGGGGUGCUCGAGUGGCGAACGGGUGAGUAACACAUGAGUAACCUGCCCUUGACUUUGGGAUAACUUCAGGAAACUGGGGCUAAUACCGGAUAGGAGCUCCUGCUGCAUGGUGGGGGUUGGAAAGUUUCGGCGGUUGGGGAUGGACUCGCGGCUUAUCAGCUUGUUGGUGGGGUAGUGGCUUACCAAGGCUUUGACGGGUAGCCGGCCUGAGAGGGUGACCGGCCACAUUGGGACUGAGAUACGGCCCAGACUCCUACGGGAGGCAGCAGUGGGGAAUAUUGCACAAUGGGCGGAAGCCUGAUGCAGCAACGCCGCGUGCGGGAUGACGGCCUUCGGGUUGUAAACCGCUUUCGCCUGUGACGAAGCGUGAGUGACGGUAAUGGGUAAAGAAGCACUGGCUAACUACGUG
RNAcentral lists this ribosomal RNA (468 nucleotides) under uncultured bacterium. Its description in RNAcentral is "partial 16S ribosomal RNA". It matches the Rfam family "Bacterial small subunit ribosomal RNA", at positions 28 to 507 of the family's 1533-position model. The record is from RNAcentral.